This 69-nucleotide transfer RNA is filed under the name Marmota monax (woodchuck). Lineage: Eukaryota; Metazoa; Chordata; Mammalia; Rodentia; Sciuridae. The record is from Rfam by way of RNAcentral.
GGAAUUGUGGCUCAGUGGUAGAGUGCUCGCCUAGCAUGUGGGAGGCCCUGGGUUUGAUCCUCAGAACCA